RNAcentral lists this non-coding RNA (152 nucleotides) under human gut metagenome. The record is from RNAcentral.
AGGUGCCCCUGCGGGGGAGAAUAGUGAAGUCGGGUGAGAAUCCCGCGCAGUCCCGCUGCCGUGUUGGGGAGAAUAUGCAAAUGGAUGUCACUGGGAAACUGGGAAGGCUGCAUAUUCCAUGAACCUGAGCCGAAAGAUCUGCCUGGCGUUCA